This 413-nucleotide long non-coding RNA is filed under the name Chrysolophus pictus (golden pheasant). Its description in RNAcentral is "lncRNA (ENSCPIG00010001492.1)". The record is from RNAcentral. Lineage: Eukaryota; Metazoa; Chordata; Aves; Galliformes; Phasianidae.
AUGUCAGACUGUCCCCAUAUCACGAUAUCCUCAUAUCACGACAUCCCCAUGUCACAACAUCCCUGUGUUAAACCUACAUCCCCAUAUCUUGAUGUCCCCAUGUCACAACAUCCCCAUAUCACGACAUCCCCAUAUCAUGACAUCCCCUUGUUACACUGUCCCCAUGUCACAACAUCCCCAUAUCACGACAUCCCCAUAUCACUGUGUCCCCAUGUCACCAUGUCCCCAUGUCACGACAUCCCCAUAUCACAUUGUCCCCAUGUCACGACAUCCCCAUGUCACACUGUCCCCAUGUCACGACAUCCCCAGGUCUCGACAUCCCCAUAUCACAGUAUCCUGAUGUCACGACAGUCCUGUGACACGACAUCCCCAUGUCACGACAUCCCCAUGUCACACUGUCCCCACGACACGAC